This is a long non-coding RNA of Syngnathoides biaculeatus (alligator pipefish), 1671 nucleotides long. RefSeq lists it as uncharacterized. The transcript is spliced from 4 exons. The record is from RefSeq and is a predicted model, not a curated record. Lineage: Eukaryota; Metazoa; Chordata; Actinopteri; Syngnathiformes; Syngnathidae.
UUUUGGUCUCCUUCACAUAUUUUCAUUGUUUUGUUGUAAAAGGUAAAUAUACAUUUGUUUAAAAUGUCUGCAAAGUGGGUGUAGUUAUAGAGGCAUAGCGUUGAAUGUGUUUUAUUUAUUUGAAACAUAAACUCACAAACUAGCUGGAGAAGGGGAGACGUUGUCAAGUGGAAGAGAGAGGAUUAAAUCAGGUUGCGACCAGCCAAGGCGUUCCCAUGUCAAGUUUAAUUGCUUUCAUGCCAUUGUGGUGAAUACAAAUGGGUAGCGCCCGUCGGUGCAUUUAAAUGUGAAGAUAUUUAGUUCAUUCCAUACACCAACUCGAGACAUUCAGUGAGUCAGCAUCCCUUGUGGCUCGAUUCUGGUGCACACUGCUCUCCGUCAACACAAGGAAAGGAGCUGGACCCGGUGGCAUCCUAGGGUGGACACUGAAAGACUGCAUAUGAGCUGGCUGGGGUCCUGGCCAGGAUUUUGAACCAUUCCCUGUGCCAAUCCACCGUUCCAUCCUGCCUCAAAUCAUCCAUCAUAAUCCCCCUCCCCAAAAAACAGCCCACCGACUGCCUGAAUAAUUACAGACCGAUAGCUUUGAAUGCCGUGUUUAUGAAGUUCUCACAUCAUGGAGGACAUCAUGACUUUCAUCCCCUGCCUCGUUUGAUACAUACCAGUUUGCCUACAGAGCUAACUGGUCUACAGAGGACGCUAUAAACACUACCCUUUAUACUGUCCUGUCCCACCUCGAACACCGGGGAAUCUAUGAACAGAUCGUCUUUGUAGACUUCAGCUCUGCCUUUAAUACCAUCCUCCACCACAGACUGGUAAUAAGAUGUUGCAUAUUGGAAUACCACACUCUACUUGCCUUUGGAUUAAGAACCUUCUGACACAAUGCACCCAGAAACUGAGAGUGGGACCCCACCUCUCCACAGCCAUCAGCCUCAGCACCGGCUCACCACAGGGCUGAGUCCUGAGCCCCCUCCUGUGCACUGUCUACAACUAUGACUGCACCCCCACUCACCACAACAUUUCCAUUGUCAAGUUUGUGAACGAAACCACAGCGGUGGUGCUCAAAUCAGGGGCCAAUGAGUCAGCCUAUAGAGAGGAGGUAGAGUGACUACUUGCAUGGUGCCGUGAAAACAACAAGCUCCUGAACACCAGCAAGACUAAGGAGCUGGUUGUGAACUUUAGGAGAAACAAGCAUAACAUCCAGCAUUUUAAUAUCGAUGGGGUUUGUAUGGAGAGGGUCUCGCGCUUCCGCUUCCUGGGAGUUAACAUCAGCGAGGACCCGACCUGGGGUCUGCAUACUGCAGAGCUGGUGAAGAAGGGCCAGAAGAGACUCUACUUCUGAGAGUCCUCAGCAAUAACAUCUCACAGACUUCUGGUGUCCUUCUACCGCAGGACUUCAAGGGUGUCCUGAGUUCCUGCCUCUGUGCAUGGUUUUCCAAUUGUACAAUACAGGGGAAAGCGCUAAAGAGAGUUAUAGUCAGUGCCCAGUGCAUUGUCGGAUAACCUCUCCUUCCACUGGAGGAGCUGCACACCUCCCACUGCCGCAAGAGUGCUGCUAGGAUCCCCCUGGAUCCCUUCCACCCUGGACAUGAACUAUGCCCACAGGCAGACGUUUCAGAUGCAUUAAAACGUAAACGAGCAGACUUUUGAAAUAAAAAAAAGCUUCUCCCCAUC